Molecule: ribosomal RNA, 497 nt
Filed under: uncultured bacterium
Lineage: Bacteria
Description: partial 16S ribosomal RNA
Rfam family: Bacterial small subunit ribosomal RNA
Source: RNAcentral
GAUGAACGCUGGCGGCGUGCCUAAUACAUGCAAGUCGAGCGAACGGACGAGAAGCUUGCUUCUCUGAUGUUAGCGGCGGACGGGUGAGUAACACGUGGAUAACCUACCUAUAAGACUGGGAUAACUUCGGGAAACCGUAGCUAAUACCGGAUAAUAUUUUGAACCGCAUGGUUCAAAAGUGAAAGACGGUCUUGCUGUCACUUAUAGAUGGAUCCGCGCUGCAUUAGCUAGUUGGUAAGGUAACGGCUUACCAAGGCAACGAUGCAUAGCCGACCUGAGAGGGUGAUCGGCCACACUGGAACUGAGACACGGUCCAGACUCCUACGGGAGGCAGCAGUAGGGAAUCUUCCGCAAUGGGCGAAAGCCUGACGGAGCAACGCCGCGUGAGUGAUGAAGGUCUUCGGAUCGUAAAACUCUGUUAUUAGGGAAGAACAUAUGUGUAAGUAACUGCGCACAUCUUGACGGUACCUAAUCAGAAAGCCACGGCCAACUACGUG